GUCCCACAACGGCUUCCUGAAGUGGCACACAUAAAAACAUUGGAGCA
Molecule: non-coding RNA, 47 nt
Filed under: unclassified sequences
Description: SAM-SAH-Weickhmann-2018 RNA
Rfam family: SAM/SAH riboswitch aptamer
Source: RNAcentral